GAUGAACGCUGGCGGCGUGCCUAAUACAUGCCAGUCGAGCGAACGGACGAGAAGCUUGCUUCUCUGAUGUUAGCGGCGGACGGGUGAGUAACACGUGGAUAACCUACCUAUAAGACUGGGAUAACUUCGGGAAACCGGAGCUAAUACCGGAUAAUAUUUUGAACCGCAUGGUUCAAAAGUGAAAGACGGUCUUGCUGUCACUUAUAGAUGGAUCCGCGCUGCAUUAGCUAGUUGGUAAGGUAACGGCUUACCAAGGCAACGAUGCAUAGCCGACCUGAGAGGGUGAUCGGCCACACUGGAACUGAGACACGGUCCAGACUCCUACGGGAGGCAGCAGUAGGGAAUCUUCCGCAAUGGGCAAAAGCCUGACGGAGCAACGCCGCGUGAGUGAUGAAGGUCUUCGGAUCGUAAAACUCUGUUAUUAGGGAAGAACAUAUGUGUAAGUAACUGUGCACAUCUUGACGGUACCUAAUCAGAAAGCCACGGCUAACUACGUG
RNAcentral lists this ribosomal RNA (497 nucleotides) under uncultured bacterium. Its description in RNAcentral is "partial 16S ribosomal RNA". It matches the Rfam family "Bacterial small subunit ribosomal RNA", at positions 28 to 507 of the family's 1533-position model. The record is from RNAcentral.